Long non-coding RNA from Artibeus jamaicensis (Jamaican fruit-eating bat), 1226 nucleotides. RefSeq lists it as uncharacterized. The transcript has 3 exons. NCBI's taxonomy places the organism in Eukaryota, Metazoa, Chordata, Mammalia, Chiroptera, Phyllostomidae. The record is from RefSeq and is a predicted model, not a curated record.
UGGGGGGAGGGGACCGGGCGGCCCGGGCGCGAGCGCGUCCCUGGGGCCCAGCGACCUCCGGGAUGCGCCGGGAGGGGUCGAGGGCCUCGGCUGCGGGCGAUGGUGGGGGCCCGGCCGAGCUCUCCGAGCCAGCCUCGGGGGCGCGGAACGCAACGCACCCGCCUUGCCCGGGCGCCCGGGUGGGGGCGUCCACCGCCCUGGUCCUCCGGCUGGUCGGCCUGGAGCUAGGUCGUGGUCCCGAGAGUCCCUACCGUCUCCUUUCUCCUGUCCGCAGCCCCUCCGCUGCGACCCCGGGCUAAAUAGGCGGCCGAGCUGAGGCUCCAGGAGAAAGGUGAAGCUCUAGUCCGUAAAGAUCCUCCUUGGGGUCUGAUUGAGUGGCGGGUGCAACCCAGAUGCUGCGAGCCGCUGAGUAGGUGGAGACGGUUUGAAGACUUCGGAGAAGAGUGCCCGUCCUUGCCUAAGAGGGAAAUUACAAAGCUCAACUAUAGCCAGAUUGACAGCAUAACUGUCUAGGAAUCAAGCAUCAGCAUUCAGUUAUUUCCUAAGAUUAAACCUCGAAAGCUCCCUCGGAGGCGGCACACCAAGCAUGGAAAAGGGGUCAUCUUUGUCGGGGACGACUCCCUCUUCCAAGAAGAAGAAGGGACCCCCCCACCUGCCCAUUCCCAUCCAGAUAAAUCAGUCUUUUUUUUAAAGCAAGGGAUGGAGCUGCACAAGGUUGGCCAGGUCCCCAUGUCCCGCUCGCACCAGCACAGAGCAGCCCCAUGCAGGACAGCCGCCUACACAUGGGCAGUGUCCUGAACCAGGGCACGUGGCGGAAGCAGCGGAUGGGAGCGAAGUCCUGCUGGAGCUCCACUCACCAAGCACUGUGCAUCGGCAUGUGGCCACGUCUGCUGCAGACCGCGUGGCUCCUUCUUCUGCUCUGCACCAAGGCCCCCUGGAUGGGCUGGGAGCAGCUAGGACUAUCCCGCCCCCAUGCACCAGUCCUAUCCAGGAUUCUAUUCCUUACUUCAGAGAGAAGAACGAUUCUCAAGAACAGUUUAGGUUUAAUGUAACAGAUGAUGAAGGGGAAGGGCAAAAAAGAUGAAGUAUUUGACACCAUUGAAAUUGAAUGGUAAAGCUCCAAAUAUUACCAUGUAUAUGAAUUAUAUAUGCAUAUAUUUAUAUGGGUAUGUACUUAUAGUUAUGUUGAUAUACAUCUCUAUGUAUCAGAAGUUAGCCUGACUUCA